GGAGAGAUGCCCGAGUUGGCUGAAGGGGCACGCCUGGAAAGCGUGUGUACGUUUUCGCGUACCCAGGGUUCGAAUCCCUGUCUCUCCGCCA
RNAcentral lists this transfer RNA (91 nucleotides) under Chitinivibrionales bacterium. RNAcentral describes it as "tRNA-Ser". It matches the Rfam family "tRNA". Rfam says of the family: Transfer RNA (tRNA) molecules are approximately 80 nucleotides in length. Their secondary structure includes four short double-helical elements and three loops (D, anti-codon, and T loops). Further hydrogen bonds mediate the characteristic L-shaped molecular structure. tRNAs have two regions of fundamental functional importance: the anti-codon, which is responsible for specific mRNA codon recognition, and the 3' end, to which the tRNAs corresponding amino acid is attached (by aminoacyl-tRNA synthetases). tRNAs cope with the degeneracy of the genetic code in two manners: having more than one tRNA (with a specific anti-codon) for a particular amino acid; and 'wobble' base-pairing, i.e. permitting non-standard base-pairing at the 3rd anti-codon position. The record is from RNAcentral. Lineage: Bacteria; Pseudomonadati; Fibrobacterota; Chitinivibrionia; Chitinivibrionales.